Molecule: transfer RNA, 75 nt
Filed under: Gammaproteobacteria bacterium
Lineage: Bacteria; Pseudomonadati; Pseudomonadota; Gammaproteobacteria
Description: tRNA-Glu
Rfam family: tRNA
About the family: Transfer RNA (tRNA) molecules are approximately 80 nucleotides in length.
Source: RNAcentral
GUCCCCAUCGUCUAGUGGUUAGGACACCGCCCUUUCACGGCGGCAACAGGGGUUCAAAUCCCCUUGGGGACGCCA